CAGCAGGGGAGAGAGAGGAGUC
RNAcentral lists this microRNA (22 nucleotides) under Homo sapiens (human). RNAcentral's name for it is "hsa-miR-6510-5p". The record is from miRBase by way of RNAcentral. Lineage: Eukaryota; Metazoa; Chordata; Mammalia; Primates; Hominidae.